GUUACGAUCGGAAGGAGAGGCGGGGGAUCUGGUCGCUGGCUGCACCCCGUGGAACUCGUGCUGGAAUGGGCUGAUGCGGAGCAUUUGAUUCCCGACGGUUGGAGCGGCUCGUUGAUUGCAGCGGAGGAGUGAUCGCCGGCGGAGCAUCCGGGAAUGAAGACGACGCCAUGGCCGGAUGCGGAAGAUGCCCGGCUGAUCUCCCUCCUAGAUUUGGCCCGCGGCUGAUGGAAGAUCGGGCUGUUUUGAUGGAAGGAAAUGAAAGGCGGGAUCACGGGAAGGAUUGGCAGCGGGAGGAAGAAGAUAAACAGUGGGAUUUAUUAUUAUUUAUUUAUUUAUUUUAUUUAUUUAUUUAUUUUACACUGUUCAUAUGAAUAGUGUUUUUACGGGACACUGUUCAUAUGAAUAGUGAAUCCAGUGAUUCUCCCCGAAAUUAUUUUUAUUUAUUUUAUUAUAUUAAUUAUCUUCUUUUUUUUGUUUUCAAUUUAUAAAUUUUAUAUGAAGGCUAGUAAGGAAUUGGUUGGGAAUUGACUUUGGAUUUGAGGUGGGUCAUGAUGGUUGACUUGUCCUUGAGCCCAUUGUCAUUUAAAUUUAAUUCUUGCUAAGCUGCUUCAGAUCGAACUCGACUAGACAAGACUAAAAACAGGACCGUGACCUAAUAAAAAGGGUUAAUCAAACCUCUGCCCCAUACAAAAUAAAUUAUAACUUUCGAUCGAAUCCGGACCAAAACCCAUUUAAUUAUAACCUUAGCUUGACUACAAUUCUAUCAGGUUACCAAACUGAAUCAACACAAUCUCCUCCUUAUAUGUUUUCAUGAAAGAUUAUAACUAGGAGAGAGACAAGUUUAGAGUCUGUCUUGAGAAAAGAAUUAUUUACCUCUUACCAUAUUUUAAAUUCAUUUCAAUAUUUAUUUAAUUUUAUGGUAAAAUAUAUAUUUAUCAGUUUAAAAACAUUGAUAAGUGCUAUGGAAAGAUAACUAAAUUAUAGAUUAUUAAGCACUUAUCACACCCCCAAAUCUAUAUUUUGCUAGNNNNNNNNNNNNNNNNNNNNAGGUCAACACAAUCUCCUCCUUAUAUGUUUUCAUGAACGAUUACAACCAGGAGAGAGACAAGUUUAGAGUCUGUUUUGAGAAAAGAAUUAUUUACCUCUUACCAUAUUUUAAAUUCAUUUCAAUGUUUAUUUAAUUUUAUGGUA
RNAcentral lists this long non-coding RNA (1191 nucleotides) under Phoenix dactylifera (date palm). RNAcentral's name for it is "long non-coding RNA (PDAC_LNC010168)". Lineage: Eukaryota; Viridiplantae; Streptophyta; Magnoliopsida; Arecales; Arecaceae. The record is from RNAcentral.